Molecule: non-coding RNA, 126 nt
Organism: Ceratotherium simum simum (southern white rhinoceros)
Lineage: Eukaryota; Metazoa; Chordata; Mammalia; Perissodactyla; Rhinocerotidae
Source: RefSeq, a predicted model, not a curated record
CUGAGGCUGCUGUCAUCAGUAGCACAGUAAUAGUCGGCCUCGUCCUCAGCCUGGGCCCCUGUGAUGGUGAGGGCGGCUUUGUUCCCAGAGAUGGAUCCAGAGAAGCGAUUAGGGACCCCAGAGGCA